RNAcentral lists this ribosomal RNA (409 nucleotides) under Pseudomonas fluorescens. Its description in RNAcentral is "bacterial SSU rRNA". It matches the Rfam family "Bacterial small subunit ribosomal RNA", at positions 956 to 1365 of the family's 1533-position model. The record is from RNAcentral. Lineage: Bacteria; Pseudomonadati; Pseudomonadota; Gammaproteobacteria; Pseudomonadales; Pseudomonadaceae.
UUAACGGGAAGAACCUUACCUGGCCUUGACAUGCUGAGAACUUUCCAGAGAUGGAUUGGUGCCUUCGGGAACUCAGACACAGGUGGUGCAUGGCUGUUGUCAGCUCGUGUCGUGAGAUGUUGGGUUAAGUCCCGUAACGAGCGCAACCCUUGUCCUUAGUUACCAGCACCUCGGGUGGGCACUCUAAGGAGACUGCCGGUGACAAACCGGAGGAAGGUGGGGAUGACGUCAAGUCAUCAUGGCCCUUACGGCCAGGGCUACACACGUGCUACAAUGGUCGGUACAAAGGGUUGCCAAGCCGCGAGGUGGAGCUAAUCCCAUAAAACCGAUCGUAGUCCGGAUCGCAGUCUGCAACUCGACUGCGUGAAGUCUGGAAUCGCUAGUAAUCGGAAUCAGCAGGUAGCUGUAA